GUUUAGUCACAAUGUGGGGAAAAGAAGAAAAACAAAAAUAUCAGCCAAAGGAAAGAAAAGACCAUAUACAUGAAAAUUGCAAAUUGGCUGCUUAAAAUUCAGUGAUCAUCUGGAAAUGGACAUUUUCUAACAGGUUCAUGUAUCAACAAUUAUUUUCAAUCUGGAAAUCUGAUACAAGCGGAGGCCUUUACUUCCCUACAUUACUUGAAGUCUAAGAUUUUUCAGCUUGCUGCUUCAUUUGCAACCAACGCUGCAAUGCAAGAGAUGGACUGUUGGAUGGAUGGGCUGUCAUUAUCUUAAUUAAACCUGAUGGACAGUACCAAACUACUGACAUCGAUAGAGUUAAAGCCACUUAACCUGCAGUCAGACUGAAAAUGAAUGUAUUUCUAUUCACAGCAAGCAAUAGUUGAAACUCUGAAUAAAACAAAUGUUCAUGCUUUUAUUAUUUAUUAUUGAUUUAUGACUGCUUUUUGAAACAUUGGUAAUAAUAGUAACCAUAUCCUUUAUUAAAAAGGAGCUGAGUGUCCCCACAAGUACCAUGAUAAUUAAACAAACAUGCCUUUUUAUGUUAUCUAAGCUGCACGUUUCACACAGGCCAGCCUCCAGUUAGCUAUUAUUAUUUAAUUUUUAAUUUCCGUCCACAUUGUUGCUUUUAAGGCACUCAUCUAAAUAUCAAUUGGUACGGGAAGCCCAACUGCAGGGGACUUUGAAACACUCCGACAAGUAGGCUAAUUCCAGUAAAGCCAUAGUAAUUCCGAUUAGCUCUAAACCUUAUUUCAGUUUCCUUAUAACGACAAGAUGGGAAGUUUUCCACACGGAAUUCCCCUGUUUGAAGAAAGCAUUUAAGUCCCCAGACGUCCACAAUUGCGCCAGUCGCUCGACGCAGAGCGCAAGGAGACGGAUGCGCGCGUUCCCGAAAGAAGAGUCGCGAGCAUUUGAGGACAUCCAUCAGAUUGUGACAUCGUCGGCGAGAAAAAUGCAACACUUGAAACUGACGUAACCUAGGCACCCAUCAAACAAGCUUAAGAUAAUUUCCCGGCAACAUCUGUCUUUCUUCCUGCUGUGUGAUGAGUCAUUUAGGAAGUAUGUGUGAGCUGUUCCGACAUAAAGAUCAUUAACGGUUUUUUAAAUUACUUUAUUGUUGCCUGUAGUUAUAACCUGUCCCCAAAUAGAAGCUCUUCCUCGCCUUUACUUGUAACUUUUUACUGCAUAUUGCAUAUUUAAAGGCACGUGUGACAAAUGAUCCUGCAUAACCUCUGUGAGGUGUUUUUUCAGGCAUGCGGUUUUUCAGGAAUGCUGUCAAGUCACACAUGCAGUACUCUAUGUACAUGUUCUUUUUAUGAAAAGUACAAACCAUUUAAGAAAACUUCUGAGACAGUUGCCCCCAUUAUUUUUUUACUGUGAUUAAAACCUACUGUUUAGCCAGUUUACUGAAUUAGAAAUUAAACAUGCGUGAAAGCUUGGAUUGCUAGACAGUUCUGCAUACCAGAGCAGAAGUUUGUUUCCUGUUUGCACAAUUUAUUCAGAUUUUAAAUGUGAAUAAAGUGUAAAAAAAUAUCUUUCUUUGAUGUUUUGUGUACCGUAACCUUGCAUGUUAGAUAUCACACAUAGAUAUUUUUGUUUAGAUAAUUGCCAGAAUUUGAGUGAAGAUAAAGCCUAUUUAUGGUACAUCUUAAAACAAAUGCACUGUAAAAAAAAGAUAUAAUAGGUAAAUAAAGAAAAAAAAACAUGGGACAAUAAAAUAAUACCAAAUUAAAUUACAAAUAGGUCAAUAAUAAGUAAAAUAUGUAAGUCAACCUGAAAAAAUCAUACUUUUAUAAGAAAGAAGAUUACAGCUUAAAACUACACUUGGGAAUAAAUGUUAUAAGACAAAGAAUCUGAACCGUCGAUACAUUAUUAAAAGACAUACAGAUCUAAUAAAUUGUUAUAGUUUUGUUUUGACGGCACAAACAGAAUUACUUUUUUAAAUAAAAUUGCAGGCAUUCUAGUGUAUACGUAAAAUACAUUUUUCAUUAUAUCAAUUAUUGCUGUUCUUGCUUUUUGUAGAUGCAGGAAAUGAGACAUGUUGCCCUUUUAAUAGGUCAAUUGAUUUGCUAGCAGUUUGAAGACAUUAGUGAUGCAAGUUAGAAGACAUACUGUAGCGUGGUUAAUAAUCUCCUUACGGUCACACUAGUGUCCAUCUUUUUUAGAAGAACCAUCAUUUUUAUCUGGACUUGUUUUUAAGGGAGGUUCUGUUGUCCAUUAAUUCAAAAGCAAUAUCUGUUACUUCUUAGUUACAUUUUGGUAAAUUUCAAAUGUGUUACUUUCAAGUUAUUUCAGGGAUGAUUGUGGGCUUUUCAUGUCAUUAGAUAAAGGCUACCAAUAAGUCUGUCUACAUCUGUUUACUCAUCAAUGACAGCUUUGAAAUAGAUCUUAUGAUCCAGGUCUCUUGUAUCAGGUAGCUGGUUUAUUAAGAUGUUCGAGUUUAAAAUAUGAACCUAUAAAAAUGAAUUUGGGCCCGAGUGGGUCAUAUUGAAUCAUAUUUGAAACCCCUGGCUAAGAAAAAAUGCAAAAAAUCCUGAUGUGAUCAUUGAUGUCUGUAGUAAUGACAAUGUUAAUGUUGCUUCUGUGAUUUUACAAAGGCAAUGCCAUGUGCAUUGUUCUUGUCUAGUCACUAGCAAACUGCUGUUUGCUAGUGACUAGAAUACAAUCUAGGCUGUAUCAGCCAUUGGAAAAGCCCCGGUCUUCUCAGGUUAAAUGGCAUUUAUUGAACAACUUAAAUUUCAUUAAUAUGGACCCUCCUUUCAAUUCCCAAUUGUCUUAUAAUCACAAAAUCAUAAUUGACACAGAGCAAAAAUAAAAGGAUCAAAACAAAACAAAAAACAAAAGGGAUAAUAAAGGGAAUAAGAAAGAAAUUUCACUUGGUCAAGAAGAUCUGUCUUAUUAAAACCACUGUCAAUCAGAAACCUGGCUGCAGUAGGGAGAAUACGCUAUUUCAAUUUAAACAAUCCCCAAAAACUGUCAGAAGAAGAAGAUAGCUGUCACAAAACAGGCAGAGGGCUGGUUCCAAAUGCAGCAGGUUUAUUAGCUCAGUUAAAAGUUCACAAAGCUAAAUCAGGGACAGGCAGGCAGGGAUCAAUAACGAGCAUGGGAGCAUCAGAAAGGAAACCAGAGUUGUCAGGAUCUAGGUGAGAUUUGGGGCAGGGGGCAGGCAAAUGGUGUCAAAGAUGAAACAGGGUCAGGAAAUCAGAAGAUCAGGUCUGGAAAUAACGCUUGGUAAUGCAGGCAGAUUGACACAAAGAAUACUUUGCACUGAGUGAGGCUCAGUGCAGUACUUAAGUAUGCUGUGAGUGCUUGCAAAUGAGUCAGGUGUGUGGCAGGGAAUGCUGGGAGAUGAAGUGCACUCAGAUGGUGACUUCUGACAUUAGCUCUAGCUUGAACAAAUGUAUAUGUCAGACAAAUCAAACAGAUAGUUAUGUUUUUUGUUUGGCAUUGUCCUCUUAAAGUUAAAGUUCAAUUAGUUGUCACACACCUGUGAAAUUUGUUCACAGGUGACUCAUCUGUGACUGAUCCCCUGGGCGAGCGGUGAGCUGCAGACACAGUGGUGGUUUAACCUCCAAAUCUAACGGUGGUGAGUGUCAAGCAGGGGGGGUCCCAUUUUUUUCCGUCUUUAGUAUGACUCAACCAUGUUUUUGAACUCAUGACCUCACACUCUCAGGGUGAACACUGUACCACAAGGCCACAGAGCCUUUUGGCCCUUAUUCUGUGUUCAUUCUCUGAUUUCUAUUGAUCGGAAAAUGUGUUAAAAUAAGAUUAAAUAAUUACAAAUAAUUAUAAUGGGGGACAGUGUGCUGAUUAAUAAGAAAGUCCUUCAACAUGCUAACACUUCUUAUUACUUUAAGUACUGUGGGUAGAUUGACUGAAAGUCAAAGUUUUGUUGAGACAUGUAUUCCUUAUGAUCUCAGAAGUUCCGACUUCACAAAGCUCUCAACAAAUUUAAAAAAAUGCUAUCAGAUAAAACAUUCAGGGCAACCUAUCAACUGUUGCUGAUAGUUUAUCAGGCUCUAUGGCUUCAAUGAUUGCUGAUCCGAAUAGCUCUUAAGUUACUUCAUCUGUCUUGAGCUUUCAGAGGUGGCGUCCAAAACUACCCCCAUAAAUCUUAAACUUGUCUCUUGGAUCCAAUUCAACUCCAUUGCCUACAGAAAUGUUCACUGUAAUUAAGAUGUAUUUUUUUUAAACCUGAUAAGCAUGUCGUCAUUGACAUAAAUAUUCCUCAGGACUUUAAGUUUGCUGAAAUUAAACCUUUAAUAUUUUGUCUAUUCUUGAUAAACACAUUUUAGCUAAUAACAUGCCUGUAUUAAAUUGCAUCUUUCUUUUUUAAGUUACUUUAGAAAACCGUUCAAAUCAACUAAUUAAGCAUUUCAAUAGAAAAUGAUGUAUUUGAAAAGUUUCAGUCAGGAGUUCUUCGUAGCACUGAAAUACCUAUGCUGAGGUCAACCAAAAAUCUCCUAAUGGCUGUGAAUAAUGAAUUUUUGUCUGUAGUUGCUCUUUUAGACCUCAGCACUGCAAUUGAAAUGAUCAGUCAUAAUAUUUUGCUUUUGCUUUAGGCUGGUUGUUUUUAUCUGAUGUAUUCCUGUUUGUCCAUAUCAACAAUGAGUCUUCCUAAUUCAGCAGAGUCAUGGUGUAUCACAGGGUUCUGUGGUUGGUCUCUCUUUUUGCUUCCAUUAGGUAACAUUAUUAGGCAGCACAGCAUAUAUUUUCAUGUUAUGCUGAUGAUACUCCGCCAUGUUACACUGCUGAUGUAAUAGAUGUCUACUAGUUCAAAGACUUAAGCAGGUCUUAAACGAUUGAAAGACUUGGAGGACUUAUAAUUUUCUUUUAUUAAACUUUUGGUAAACCUAGAUAAAAAAACAGAUUAAUUUUCUUGGAUUUGAGCACUUCUAAAAAAAAUCUGUGUUUUUGUUCAGUUAGGCCAACGAUUCUGCAUUUCAGCGUCCCAUAAACCCUCCAACUCCCCUCCCACCGCCCCCACUUAUCUGCACACAUACCCUCAGCUCCAAAAACACAAGUCUCUAUUAUCCCAGCUGCAAACAGUCACAAUACCAACAACUAGUUUACCCUAACUAUUGUCAUGACAAACACCAGUGUACAAGAUAGAGAUGUUAAGUGAAAAAAGAGAGGACAUGAUGGAAAAAGUGAAAUAGAAUGAAGAGGCGGAUAGGUUAGAAAAAAGCAAGACAGGCAAAACGUUUCCCUGAUGGGUUAAGCUAUUCCACAAUGGCA
Non-coding RNA from Oryzias latipes (Japanese medaka), 5262 nucleotides. NCBI's taxonomy places the organism in Eukaryota, Metazoa, Chordata, Actinopteri, Beloniformes, Adrianichthyidae. The record is from RefSeq and is a predicted model, not a curated record.